Long non-coding RNA from Triplophysa rosa, 824 nucleotides. RefSeq lists it as uncharacterized. Lineage: Eukaryota; Metazoa; Chordata; Actinopteri; Cypriniformes; Nemacheilidae. The transcript has 3 exons. The record is from RefSeq and is a predicted model, not a curated record.
AUCUCAUCUAACCAUUAACUCGCUGUCGCUCCAAGAACAGUCGAGCACGAGGAGAGCAUGUCUUUCAAACCGAACGGGAGUCCGCCGCCCGAUAACUUUGAACAAGGUGAUCAUGAAAAUAAUGUUGAGUUGCAGCACUUCUAUUGUUGGAUGUCACCGCCGGGCAUCAUCAAGAUCAUGUGUGUCCUGUCUGUGAUCUGGUGUGUGAAAAUCUUCAUGUGUAGCUCAAACUCUGGCUGGGUUUGGAACCUAUGGAACCAUGUAAGGAGGUGGCUAUGGAGGUUCUUAAAGCUCUUUUGGUGGCUUUGGAGAUUGUGGAAGUUCUUACGGUGGCUUUGGAGGAACCGGCUGUGGAAUGGGAGAUUAUGGAAGCUUUGGUUACGGUAUCCUCAGAUCGCCGAUUGAGGUUUUUAUGAUUGCCGUGGCUGUAGUAUGAACGCAGCUGUAUGAUGUGCGGGUGGGAUGAGCGUCUCACUUAUGUCUGAUGUUUUUUAACUUUCCUAAGUUUCAUUAAUGGAGAAUAAAGAGAGAUGUGCAAAAAGAAAAAUUCUCUUCUCAGAGAAUUCACAAAUAUGACAAAAUAAUGAGAACUACAACUAAAACAGACAGUACUGGAUUAUAACCACAGAGGCGCCAUGUCCCGCUGAAUGCAAGACUUGUGUGGAUGGUAUCACAUAUAUUAAAAUCUACAUUGGCACGAGGAAACAAUUGCUUGUAUGCUUUUAAUAAACGCUCUCUGAACCUUGACUUCUAACCUUUUUAGUACUUGUUUCAUUUCGAAUUAGUUGUAUCAUAUACUGUGUGUUAAAAUUUGUGAUUUAUGA